UACGAAGGGUGCAAGCGUUACUCGGAAUUACUGGGCGUAAAGCGUGCGUAGGUGGUUUGUUAAGUCUGAUGUGAAAGCCCUGGGCUCAACCUGGGAACUGCAUUGGAAACUGGCUUACUAGAGUGCGGUAGAGGGGUGUGGAAUUCCCGGUGUAGCAGUGAAAUGCGUAGAGAUGCGGAGGAACACCGAUGGCGAAGGCAGCCCCCUGGGCCGACACUGACGCUCAGGCACGAAAGCGUGGGGAGCAAACAGG
RNAcentral lists this ribosomal RNA (253 nucleotides) under uncultured bacterium. RNAcentral's name for it is "partial 16S ribosomal RNA". It matches the Rfam family "Bacterial small subunit ribosomal RNA", at positions 524 to 776 of the family's 1533-position model. The record is from RNAcentral.